UCUUCGGUCUUCCCCUUCCUGGUCUCUCGGUCCCUUCAAUCUUCAAUCGUUCUUGUCUUUCCGUUCCUGGUCUAUCUCUCUCGGUUUCCCGUAGACCUAUCCCUCUCAGUCGGGAAAUGAGAAAAUAAGCAGAAAUUUUUAAUAUUUCACUAACUCUCUAUUCCCCAAUUUCUAUUUCUAUCAUUUACCACACAAAGACAACCCUAAUCAUUCUCUCUUCUGUCUUUUCCCCAUGGAUGGCUUGUUCUAUCCUCUGUAUCGUUUCCCACUGAUGGUACACAGAUAGUCAUAGCCAUUCUUCUUUUCUUUCACUAAAUUUUUUUUGCUCCAGUGCCUCCUCUUAGCCAUGGCUAGGGCUACCAUAAAGGUUUAUUUCUUCAUAAUGGAGAGGGGUUAGUCCUCUUCAAAAUCUCUGUUCCAGAAGUUUCUUCAUCGCCAGCAAAGAUUUUAAGGGUGGUGAUUUAUGGCUUGUUUGGAUAUUCAGAUGGAUGUAAAGAAUCAAUAAUCUGCAACUAUAUGGGUGCUCAAGAUAUGCAUUUUCGAGAAAAUGAGCAAUUAUGGAGAGUUUAGACGGUUUACAACUUGGAAACAAAGGGACCAAAUUGUUGACUUUUAAUUGCCAUAUGAGAUUUUUGGGCCUAUGCAACAAAAUGUGUGAACAUGCUUAUUCUUUGGCUCAAAAUAUGGAUCCUGACAGUGAAGGAAGAGGAGUUCUACAAUUUAAAACUGGAUUGAUGUCUUUCAUUAAGCAAAAACUUGCAAAAAAAGGAGGGAGGAGUUAUAGAUAGAAGCCAAGACAUUGCUCUUUUGCAAGAUUUCUACAAACUCUAUCGAGAGCACAAUGACGUGGAAAUGUUACGAGAAGAAGAGUUGAAUUUAAGGGAGACUGGGGCUUUCAGUGGAGACUUGGGCGAGUUGGAGAGAAAGACAGUUAAGAGGAAAAGAGUUUUUGCUACUUUAAAAGUUCUAGGCACAGUCCUUCAGCAACUGACUGAGGAAAUUCCUGAUGAGAUGAAGUCCAUGGCUGGCACCCAAGCUUAGCCUUGGCCCCAGAAGUUGAAGAAGAAAGCUUAGAACUUUUUGUUCAUUUCAAGUACCGGGAAAUCUCAGUUCUUGAAAUUUGCUGCAAAGUUAAGUAACAGAUCUGUUGUCACUACUGGCUUAGGAAGCACUAGUGCUGGACUCACUGUCACUGCAGUCAAGGAUGGAGGUUGGGGAUCGAAUUGGCAAGGAGCAUUGCAAAGGUAAUUUGCAAGAGUUGUUAAACCCAGACAAAAAACAAGGUUUUAGUAAGAGAACAACAUCAAAUACAAUUUCAUUGGAGAUGGAUAAAAGUUGGAUCCAUCUUAACAGAGUAACGGUGGAAUAUGAGCAAAAAGCUAGAGAGUUUGCACUUGCUUGACUGGGCAGAUGCAAUUGUUGCUGAAGGUCGUUGGGAUUCUAGUGAUCCAAAUAUAACUGUACAUGGAAAGCCUCUUGGACCAGACUUUAUGCGAGUAUGGGUUGAUGUUGCUAUUGUACCAGAGUCUUACUUAUUUCGUCCUAAUCAUGCGAUGCUUACAAUACAAGAAGCAGUUGGUUCCAUAGUUGCAUGGCCUUCUAAAAAAGUUAUUCCAAGAGAUAUGACAAGCGAAGUAUAAAAGGAUACUUAAGACUCCUUGAAAGUAGUAACUUUGUUUAUUUCUUUGUGUUGAAAGUAGUAACUUUUAGACUCCUUGAAUACUUAAAGAAUAUUUUGUUGUUGAUGACAGUGUUGAAUGUUUUAAACCAAAUUGUGGAUUGUUAAUUCAAUGUAGAAUGUUCUUACUUUUUGUUA
Humulus lupulus (European hop) is the source of this 1816-nucleotide long non-coding RNA. RefSeq lists it as uncharacterized. The transcript is spliced from 12 exons. Lineage: Eukaryota; Viridiplantae; Streptophyta; Magnoliopsida; Rosales; Cannabaceae. The record is from RefSeq and is a predicted model, not a curated record.